GCAUCCGUAGCUCAGCUGGAUAGAGUACUCGGCUACGAACCGAGCGGUCGGAGGUUAGAGUACUCGGCUACGAACCGAGCGGUCGGAGGUUCGAAUCCUCCCGGAUGCACCA
This 112-nucleotide transfer RNA is filed under the name Enterobacter cloacae. Its description in RNAcentral is "tRNA-Arg". It matches the Rfam family "tRNA". From Rfam's summary of the family: Transfer RNA (tRNA) molecules are approximately 80 nucleotides in length. Their secondary structure includes four short double-helical elements and three loops (D, anti-codon, and T loops). Lineage: Bacteria; Pseudomonadati; Pseudomonadota; Gammaproteobacteria; Enterobacterales; Enterobacteriaceae. The record is from RNAcentral.